Molecule: ribosomal RNA, 411 nt
Filed under: alpha proteobacterium 68-F88
Lineage: Bacteria; Pseudomonadati; Pseudomonadota; Alphaproteobacteria
Description: bacterial SSU rRNA
Rfam family: Bacterial small subunit ribosomal RNA
Source: RNAcentral
GCAGUCGAACGGGCAUAGCAAUAUGUCAGUGGCAGACGGGUGAGUAACGCGUGGGAACAUACCUCUUGGUUCGGAACAACACAGGGAAACUUGUGCUAAUACCGGAUAAGCCCUUACGGGGAAAGAUUUAUCGCCGAGAGAUUGGCCCGCGUCUGAUUAGCUAGUUGGUGUGGUAAAGGCGCACCAAGGCGACGAUCAGUAGCUGGUCUGAGAGGAUGAUCAGCCACAUUGGGACUGAGACACGGCCCAAACUCCUACGGGAGGCAGCAGUGGGGAAUAUUGGACAAUGGGCGCAAGCCUGAUCCAGCCAUGCCGCGUGAGUGAUGAAGGCCUUAGGGUUGUAAAGCUCUUUUGUACGGGAAGAUAAUGACGGUACCGUAAGAAUAAGCCCCGGCUAACUUCGUGCCAGCA